CAGGCCUAACACAUGCAAGUCGGACGAGAAGGUUCCUUCGGGAACUGGAGAGUGGCGCACGGGUGAGUAACGCGUGGGGACCUACCUUUUAGUGGGGGAUAACGGUUGGAAACGACCGCUAAUACCGCAUACGCCCUUUUGGGGAAAGAUUUAUCGCUAAAAGAUGGACCCGCGUUGGAUUAGAUAGUUGGUGAGGUAACGGCUCACCAAGUCUUCGAUCCAUAGCUGGUUUGAGAGGAUGAUCAGCCACACUGGGACUGAGACACGGCCCAGACUCCUACGGGAGGCAGCAGUGGGGAAUAUUGGACAAUGGGCGGAAGCCUGAUCCAGCCAUGCCGCGUGAGUGAAGAAGGCCUUCGGGUUGUAAAGCUCUUUCAGAUGCGAAGAUGAUGACGGUAACAUCAGAAGAAGCCCCGGC
RNAcentral lists this ribosomal RNA (418 nucleotides) under uncultured Alphaproteobacteria bacterium. RNAcentral's name for it is "bacterial SSU rRNA". It matches the Rfam family "Bacterial small subunit ribosomal RNA", at positions 43 to 497 of the family's 1533-position model. Lineage: Bacteria; Pseudomonadati; Pseudomonadota; Alphaproteobacteria. The record is from RNAcentral.